This 466-nucleotide ribosomal RNA is filed under the name uncultured bacterium. RNAcentral's name for it is "bacterial SSU rRNA". It matches the Rfam family "Bacterial small subunit ribosomal RNA", at positions 331 to 793 of the family's 1533-position model. The record is from RNAcentral.
CCAGACUCCUACGGGAGGCAGCAGUGAGGAAUAUUGGUCAAUGGGCGCGAGCCUGAACCAGCCAAGUCGCGUGAGGGAUGACGGCCCUACGGGUUGUAAACCUCUUUUGUCGGGGAGCAAAUUCCGUUACGUGUAACGGAGUCGAGAGUACCCGAAGAAAAAGCAUCGGCUAACUACGUGCCAGCAGCCGCGGUAAUACGUAGGGGGCAAGCGUUAUCCGGAUUUACUGGGUGUAAAGGGAGCGUAGACGGUUACGCAAGUCUGAAGUGAAAGGCGGGGGCCCAACCCCCGGACUGCUUUGGAAACUGUGAAACUGGAGUGCAGGAGAGGUAAGUGGAAUUCCUAGUGUAGCGGUGAAAUGCGUAGAUAUUAGGAGGAACACCAGUGGCGAAGGCGGCUUACUGGACUGUAACUGACGUUGAGGCUCGAAAGCGUGGGGAGCAAACAGGAUUAGAUACCCUUGUAU